UGGGAAUAUUGCACAAUGGGCGAAAGCCUGAUGCAGCAACGCCGCGUGCGGGAUGACGGCCUUCGGGUUGUAAACCGCUUUCAGCAGGGACGAAGGUUUUCUGACGGUACCUGCAGAAGAAGCACCGGCUAACUACGUGCCAGCAGCCGCGGUGAUACGUAGGGUGCGAGCGUUGUCCGGAAUUAUUGGGCGUAAAGAGCUUGUAGGCGGUCCGUUGCGUCGGAAGUGAAACUCAGGGCUUAACCCUGAGCCUGCUUUCGAUACGGGCGGACUUGAGGGAUGUAGGGGAGAACGGAAUUCCUGGUGGAGCGGUGGAAUGCGCAGAUAUCAGGAGGAACACCAGUGGCGAAGGCGGUUCUCUGGACAUUUCCUGACGCUGAGAAGCGAAAGCGUGGGGAGCAAACAGGCUUAGAUACCCUGGUAGUCCACGCCGUAAACGGUGGCACUAGGUGUGGGACCCAUUCCACGGGUUCCGUGCCGUAGCUAACG
RNAcentral lists this ribosomal RNA (489 nucleotides) under uncultured bacterium. Its description in RNAcentral is "partial 16S ribosomal RNA". It matches the Rfam family "Bacterial small subunit ribosomal RNA", at positions 356 to 857 of the family's 1533-position model. The record is from RNAcentral.